This 262-nucleotide ribosomal RNA is filed under the name uncultured Burkholderiales bacterium. RNAcentral's name for it is "partial 16S ribosomal RNA". It matches the Rfam family "Bacterial small subunit ribosomal RNA", at positions 524 to 786 of the family's 1533-position model. Lineage: Bacteria; Pseudomonadati; Pseudomonadota; Betaproteobacteria; Burkholderiales. The record is from RNAcentral.
UACGUAGGGUGCAGGCGUUAAUCGGAAUUACUGGGCGUAAAGCGUGCGCAGGCGGUUUGUUAAGACAGAUGUGAAAUCCCCGAGCUUAACUUGGGAAUUGCGUUUGUAACUGGCAAGCUAGAGUGUAGCAGAGGGGGGUAGAAUUCCACGUGUAGCAGUGAAAUGCGUAGAUAUGUGGAGGAAUACCGAUGGCGAAGGCAGCCCCUGGGUUAACACUGACGCUCAUGCACGAAAGCGUGGGGAGCAAACAGGAUUAGAUACC